UACGUAGGGGGCAAGCGUUGUCCGGAAUCAUUGGGCGUAAAGAGUGUGUAGGCGGCUUGGUAAGUCCGCUCUGAAAGCCUGGGGCUCAACCCCAGGAGGCGGGUGGAUACUGUCAAGCUUGAGUCCGGAAGAGGCGAGUGGAAUUCCCGGUGUAGCGGUGAAAUGCGCAGAUAUCGGGAGGAACACCUAUGGCGAAGGCAGCUCGCUGGGACGUGACUGACGCUGAGACACGAAAGCGUGGGGAGCAAACAGG
This 253-nucleotide ribosomal RNA is filed under the name uncultured bacterium. Its description in RNAcentral is "partial 16S ribosomal RNA". It matches the Rfam family "Bacterial small subunit ribosomal RNA", at positions 524 to 776 of the family's 1533-position model. The record is from RNAcentral.